GGAGGGGUGGCCGAGUGGUUGAAGGCGCACGCCUGGAAAGUGUGUAUGCGGGAAACAGUAUCGCGGGUUCGAAUCCCGCCCCCUCCGCCA
This 90-nucleotide transfer RNA is filed under the name Methylocystis sp. RNAcentral describes it as "tRNA-Ser". It matches the Rfam family "tRNA". Rfam says of the family: Transfer RNA (tRNA) molecules are approximately 80 nucleotides in length. Lineage: Bacteria; Pseudomonadati; Pseudomonadota; Alphaproteobacteria; Hyphomicrobiales; Methylocystaceae. The record is from RNAcentral.